CGCGGGCCACGGGUAGGGUUGCCAAGCCGUCAAGGCUUGGCAACCAGAAGAACCACGUACACCCCCACAAGCCCCCGCUAACCCCCAUACCCGCCAAUGACCCCCGCCCCAUGGGGUCGGCGGUGACGGAGCCCCCUCUGGAGGGAGGGGGUUAACCGUCUUAACCGGGGGAACCCGGCCAGGCCCGGAAGGGAGCAACCUAACCCCGGCCGUCGACGUUCAUGGGUCACCGGGGCUGAGGUAGGGUAUGGAAGGGCUCUGGCGGGAUCGGCUGUGAGGGUGUGCGUGGGGCCGUGGCCCGCG
Molecule: signal recognition particle RNA, 303 nt
Filed under: Thermoprotei archaeon
Lineage: Archaea; Thermoproteati; Thermoproteota; Thermoprotei
Description: signal recognition particle sRNA
Rfam family: Archaeal signal recognition particle RNA
Source: RNAcentral